AGAGUUUGAUCCUGGCUCAGAAUGAACGCUGGCGGCGUGCUUAACACAUGCAGGUCGAACGAGAAAGGGAUUGCUUGCAGUCCCGAGUAGAGUGGCGCACGGGUGAGUAACACGUAGAUAAUCUGCCUUCAAGCCUGGGAUAACUAUUCGAAAGGGUAGCUAAUACCGGAUAAAGUCGAUCUACACAAGUAGAUUGAUGAAAGAUUGCCUCUUCUUGAAAGCAAUUGUUUGGAGAUGAGUUUGCGUACCAUUAGCUUGUUGGUGGGGUAAAGGCCUACCAAGGCAACGAUGGUUAGCUGGUCUGAGAGGAUGAUCAGCCACACUGGAACUGGAACACGGUCCAGACUCCUACGGGAGGCAGCAGUGAGGAAUUUUGCGCAAUGGGGGCAACCCUGACGCAGCAACGCCGCGUGAGUGAAGAAGGCCUUUGGGUCGUAAAGCUCUGUCAACAGGGAAGAAGUUACAAUUGUUUAAUAGAUGGUUGUAUUGACGGUACCUGUGGAGGAAGCGCCGGCUAACUCCGUGCCAGCAGCCGCGGUAAUACGGGGGGCGCAAGCGUUAUUCGGAAUUAUUGGGCGUAAAGGGCGCGCAGGCGGUCUUGUCCGUCAGGUGUGAAAGCUCGGGGCUCAACCCCGGAAGUGCACUUGAAACAGCAAGACUUGAAUACGGGAGAGGAAAGCGGAAUUCCUGGUGUAGAGGUGAAAUUCGUAGAUAUCAGGAGGAACACCGAUGGCGAAGGCAGCUUUCUGGACCGAUAUUGACGCUGAGGCGCGAAGGCGUGGGUAGCAAACGGGAUUAGAUACCCUGGUAGUCG
This 814-nucleotide ribosomal RNA is filed under the name uncultured bacterium. RNAcentral's name for it is "bacterial SSU rRNA". It matches the Rfam family "Bacterial small subunit ribosomal RNA", at positions 8 to 796 of the family's 1533-position model. The record is from RNAcentral.